CCUACGGGGGGCUGCAGUGGGGGAUAUUGGACAAUGGGGGGAACCCUGAUCCAGCGACGCCGCGUGAGUGAAGAAGUAUUUCGGUAUGUAAAGCUCUGUCAGCAGGGACGCAAGAAAUGACGGUACCUGCCCAAGAAGCGCCGGCUAACUACGUGCCAGCAGCCGCGGGUAUACGUAGGGGGCAAGCGUUAUCCGGAAGUACUGGGUGUAAAGGGAGCGUAGACGGUUAAGUAAGUCUGGAGUGAAAGGCCGGGGCCCAACCCCGGGACAGCUCUGGAAACUAGUGAACUUGAGUGCAGGAGAGGUAAGCGGAAUUCGCAGUGUAGCGGUGAAAUGCGUAGAUAUUAGGAGGAACACCAGUGGCGAAGGCGGCUCACUGGAGUGUAACUGACGCUGAGGCUCGAAAGCGUGGGGAGCAAACAGGAUUAGAUACCCGUGUAGUC
This 443-nucleotide ribosomal RNA is filed under the name uncultured bacterium. Its description in RNAcentral is "partial 16S ribosomal RNA". It matches the Rfam family "Bacterial small subunit ribosomal RNA", at positions 338 to 795 of the family's 1533-position model. The record is from RNAcentral.